AAAGAUAUCCAUCAUCUCUAAAAAUGGCGACAACACUGCGUUUACGACUAUGGAGUUCCAACCUAAAUUUCCUUCUUGAAAAACCAAAAUCCGCCAUUUCACCCUUUACAACAAACUUAUGCAAGCCAUUUUCUUCUCAUUCUCUCUCCUCUACUACCCACCUUCCGAAGAGCGUGGGAACGCACAACGGCAGCUUUCACUGCGACGAAGCUCUUGGCUGCUUUCUCCUUCGUCGCACCACCAAAUUCGCUGAUUCUCAGAUCAUUCGAACUCGAGACCUUCAGGUGUUGGAUUCGUUGGAUGCGGUGCUAGAUGUUGGAGGAGUGUAUGAUCCGACCCGUGAUCGCUUUGAUCAUCAUCAGAAGGGUUUUGAUGAAGUUUUUGGUCAUGGGUUUGGGACUAAACUUAGUAGUGCUGGACUUGUCUACAAGCAUUAUGGAAAAGAAAUAAUUGCAAAGGAGCUUCAGCUUGAUCAAAGACACCCAGAUGUGCAUCGCUUGUUUCUAGCUAUCUACAAGAAUUUUGUCGAGGCAGUUGAUGCUGUAGACAAUGGGAUUAAUCAAUACAAUACAGAUAUAUCACCUAAAUACACUAUUAACACAUACUUAUCAUCUAGAGUGGGAAGAUUGAAUCUUGGCUGGACAGAUCGUGAUCAGUCAGCUGAGCGAGAAAAUGAUGCCUUUUUGAAGGCGAUGACAUUGGCUGGGAAUGAGUUUUUGGAGAGCAUACAUUUUCAUGCACAAUCAUGGUUACCGGCUAGAUCCAUUGUAGAGGAGUGUCUUGCAGCAAGGCAAGAUAUUGACUCUAGUGGUGAAAUCAUGGUGCUCAAGAAGUCUUGUCCUUGGAAGCUUCACAUCUUUGAGCUUGAGGAGGAAAUGAAGGUUGAGCCUUCUACCAAAUACGUUCUUUAUGAGGAUGAUAGAUGUACUUCAUGGCGGGUGCAGGCAGUGUGUCACGGUCCGAGUGAUUCAACACCAGAUCGUGCGGCGCGCUCUCGUCUUUUGGCGACAAGGGCGCAAGCCUAAAGCAAGGAGGUUCGUGAGCACACAGCAACACGGACCUACGGUGUCUCAAGAGGGCGCACGAGAACAACGAGUGCGGAGUCGGGGCUUGUGACGGCCGAUACUUCGAAGCGGGCACAAGCGGAACCGAAGAAAAUGAGGACGUCUCUAGGGUCUCUUGGUUUGGUGGGGGAUGCUUUAAAACAAGGCAAACACAAUAUCUAUAAAGGCUUAAACAACACACAAGUCUUAAAGCAAUAAAAACGGGGUAGAGAGCUUUGAUUGAAUAACCAUUCGCUCCCUAAAGAGCUUUAUAUUGCAUUAGUAGAGAAUUACAAGUGAACGUUGAAAUGACAGUAACACAGUAAUUCUCCCUAGGGUCUAGAAAAAUAAAAAGAAAGACUAAAGAGACAUUACAUAAGGAAAAUAUAAGGAAAAUAAAGAAGAAUACAUAACAAAGAGGUUGGAUUCUAACACAGUGGCUUUAGGACCCGAUAGAUUUGAAAGCCGAAAGCCCUUGCCUCAUCCUUGGAGGGGUUUGGAGGGCAAAGAACUCUCGGAGAUAGCAGGGAUCCCUGGCUGUGUAUUUGUGCACAUGAGUGGAUUUAUCGGUGGGAAUCAAACUUAUGAGGGUGCUAUUGAGAUGGCAAGAGCUUCCUUGAAAGCAUAAAGCAGGUUUAAACCACUAUACAAUUUUAUACAUAUAUCUUACAUUAAAUUUCCGGGAUUUGGGAGAUAAAGGCAUCUUAGAGCUUAAGGAUGUCCAGGGGUAUGCAGUCAGUACCUGUAUGCACAAUCUGUUCAUCUUUAGUUUCCCGUGGAUCCAAUCAGUUAACGGAAUUCAUUUUCUGAUUAAUGAAUGCAAGACAAAUGUAAGGCAAACUCAUUCCCAGCCUUCAAAGAUUAUCAGCUUCUGGAUUCUGAAAUGCUUGUUGGUCAAAGUAUUCACUGUUCAGAGGAGGUAUCAUUCUCUUUAAACAAAAUUUUGUCUGAUCUUAGGAAUUGAAUUAUGUUUGUAAUUCUAUUGAUUCAAUCAUCUUUAUGAGAAUAAGUCCUUAUUUUCCUUUUGUUUUUUCAGUUUCUUAUCAUAUAAAAUCCUUUUAGGCCAUUG
RNA transcript from Chenopodium quinoa (quinoa), 2112 nucleotides. It is a transcript of the gene named UPF0160 protein-like, with no coding region annotated. The record is from RefSeq and is a predicted model, not a curated record. The transcript is spliced from 8 exons. Lineage: Eukaryota; Viridiplantae; Streptophyta; Magnoliopsida; Caryophyllales; Amaranthaceae.